CCUACGGGAGACUGCAGUAGGGAAUAUUGCUCAAUGGGGGAAACCCUGAAGCAGCAACGCCGCGUGGAGGAUGAAGGUUUUCGGAUUGUAAACUCCUUUUGUUAGAGAAGAUAAUGACGGUAUCUAACGAAUAAGCACCGGCUAACUCCGUUCCAGCAGCCGCGGUAAUACGGAGGGUGCAAGCGUUACUCGGAAUCACUGGGCGUAAAGAGCGCGUAGGCGGGAUAGCAAGUCAGAUGUGAAAUCCUAUGGCUUAACCAUAGAACUGCAUUUGAAACUGUUAGUCUAGAGUAUGGGAGAGGUAGGUGGAAUUCUUGGUGUAGGGGUAAAAUGCGUAGAGAUCAAGAGGAAUACUCAUUGCGAAGGCGACCUGCUAGAACAUAACUGACGCUGAUGCGCGAAAGCGUGGGGAGCAAACAGGAUUAGAUACCCGGGUAGUC
RNAcentral lists this ribosomal RNA (440 nucleotides) under uncultured bacterium. Its description in RNAcentral is "partial 16S ribosomal RNA". It matches the Rfam family "Bacterial small subunit ribosomal RNA", at positions 338 to 795 of the family's 1533-position model. The record is from RNAcentral.